UCCUCAUUUUGCAUGCUCUCUCGUCUGUCUGACCGGCGAGAGAGUAUGCACAAUGAGGAGA
Pristionchus pacificus is the source of this 61-nucleotide non-coding RNA. The record is from Rfam. NCBI's taxonomy places the organism in Eukaryota, Metazoa, Nematoda, Chromadorea, Rhabditida, Neodiplogasteridae.